AAGAAUACACUGUCAGGGAUCAUCACUGCAGUUCAGUACUAGGGAAAUUUCUCUGAUCCCGCAGAGCACCCAGAACCACGAGAGGAGCCAGAGGGUCAUCUCCUGCUCAUGAAGCCUGCUCUAGGUGUUGCUCCUGCAGCUGCCUCUUACCACUGACGAUCAUUCUUCUCUUCCCCGGAGAGGGGGAGGAUGCAGUCUGAGCGGG
Sorex araneus (European shrew) is the source of this 205-nucleotide small nucleolar RNA. RefSeq annotates it as small nucleolar RNA U3. The record is from RefSeq and is a predicted model, not a curated record. The transcript has a single exon. NCBI's taxonomy places the organism in Eukaryota, Metazoa, Chordata, Mammalia, Eulipotyphla, Soricidae.